RNAcentral lists this ribosomal RNA (472 nucleotides) under uncultured bacterium. RNAcentral describes it as "bacterial SSU rRNA". It matches the Rfam family "Bacterial small subunit ribosomal RNA", at positions 355 to 825 of the family's 1533-position model. The record is from RNAcentral.
UGGGGAAUAUUGGACAAUGGGCGCAAGCCUGAUCCAGCCAUACCGCGUGAGUGAAGAAGGCCUUCGGGUUGUAAAGCUCUUUCAGACGGAAAGAAACGGUUACGGCUAAUACCCGUGACUAAUGACGGUACCGUAAGAAGAAGCACCGGCUAACUACGUGCCAGCAGCCGCGGUAAUACGUAGGGUGCGAGCGUUAAUCGGAAUUACUGGGCGUAAAGCGUGCGCAGGCGGUUUGGUAAGACAGAUGUGAAAUCCCCGGGCUUAACCUGGGAACUGCAUUUGUGACUGCCAGACUAGAGUGUAGCAGAGGGGGGUAGAAUUCCACGUGUAGCAGUGAAAUGCGUAGAUAUGUGGAGGAAUACCGAUGGCGAAGGCAAUCCCCUGGACCUGUACUGACGCUCAUGCACGAAAGCGUGGGGAGCAAACAGGAUUAGAUACCCUUGUAGUCCCUGAGCGGGCUGGCAAGGCGCAU